RNAcentral lists this non-coding RNA (30 nucleotides) under Mus musculus (house mouse). Lineage: Eukaryota; Metazoa; Chordata; Mammalia; Rodentia; Muridae. The record is from RNAcentral.
UGGAUUAAGUGUCUUUUAGGUACCCUGUCU